RNAcentral lists this ribosomal RNA (392 nucleotides) under uncultured bacterium. RNAcentral describes it as "partial 16S ribosomal RNA". It matches the Rfam family "Bacterial small subunit ribosomal RNA", at positions 523 to 918 of the family's 1533-position model. The record is from RNAcentral.
CUACGGAGGAUCCGAGCGUUAUCCGGAUUUAUUGGGUUUAAAGGGUGCGCAGGCGGCCAUUUAAGUCAGCGGUUAAAUCGUGGGGCUCAACCCCAUUCUGCCGUUGAUACUGGGUGGCUUGAUUGCGGUCGAGGUUGGCGGAAUUCGUUGUGUAGCGGUGUAAUGCAUAGAUAUGACGAAGAACACCGAUUGCGUAGGCAGCUGACCAGAACGCAAAUGACGCUCAUGCACGAAAGUGCGGGGAUCGAACAGGAUUAGAUACCCUGGUAGUCCGCACAGUAAACGAUGAAUACUUGUUUUCGGCGAUAUAAUGUCGGAGGCAAAGCGAAAGCGAUAAGUAUUCCACCUGGGGAGUACGCCGGCAACGGUGAAACUCAAAUGAAUUGACGGGG